RNAcentral lists this ribosomal RNA (497 nucleotides) under uncultured bacterium. RNAcentral describes it as "partial 16S ribosomal RNA". It matches the Rfam family "Bacterial small subunit ribosomal RNA", at positions 28 to 507 of the family's 1533-position model. The record is from RNAcentral.
GACGAACGCUGGCGGCGUGCCUAAUACAUGCAAGUAGAACGCUGAAGAGAGGAGCUUGCUCUUCUUGGAUGAGUUGCGAACGGGUGAGUAGCGCGUAGGUAACCUGCCUUGUAGCGGGGGAUAACUAUUGGAAACGAUAGCUAAUACCGCAUAACAAUGGAUGACCCAUGUCAUUUAUUUGAAAGGGGCAAAUGCUCCACUACAAGAUGGACCUGCGUUGUAUUAGCUAGUAGGUGAGGUAACGGCUCACCUAGGCGACGAUACAUAGCCGACCUGAGAGGGUGAUCGGCCACACUGGGACUGAGACACGGCCCAGACUCCUACGGGAGGCAGCAGUAGGGAAUCUUCGGCAAUGGGGGCAACCCUGACCGAGCAACGCCGCGUGAGUGAAGAAGGUUUUCGGAUCGUAAAGCUCUGUUGUAAGUCAAGAACGAGUGUGAGAGUGGAAAGUUCACACUGUGACGGUAGCUUACCAGAAAGGGACGGCUAACUACGUG